This 84-nucleotide transfer RNA is filed under the name Danio rerio (zebrafish). Its description in RNAcentral is "tRNA-Leu (CAA) (tRNA-Leu-CAA-11-1)". It matches the Rfam family "tRNA". From Rfam's summary of the family: Transfer RNA (tRNA) molecules are approximately 80 nucleotides in length. Their secondary structure includes four short double-helical elements and three loops (D, anti-codon, and T loops). The record is from RNAcentral. Lineage: Eukaryota; Metazoa; Chordata; Actinopteri; Cypriniformes; Danionidae.
GUCAGAAUGGCCGAGUGGUCUAAGGCGCCAGACUCAAGUUCUGGUCUCCUGCUGGAGGCGUGGGUUCAAAUCCCACUUCUGACA